RNAcentral lists this ribosomal RNA (508 nucleotides) under uncultured bacterium. Its description in RNAcentral is "partial 16S ribosomal RNA". It matches the Rfam family "Bacterial small subunit ribosomal RNA", at positions 28 to 507 of the family's 1533-position model. The record is from RNAcentral.
GACGAACGCUGGCGGCGUGCCUAAUACAUGCAAGUCGAACGCUUCUUUCCUCCCGAGUGCUUGCACUCAAUUGGAAAGAGGAGUGGCGGACGGGUGAGUAACACGUGGGUAACCUACCCAUCAGAGGGGGAUAACACUUGGAAACAGGUGCUAAUACCGCAUAACAGUUUAUGCCGCAUGGCAUAAGAGUGAAAGGCGCUUUCGGGUGUCGCUGAUGGAUGGACCCGCGGUGCAUUAGCUAGUUGGUGAGGUAACGGCUCACCAAGGCCACGAUGCAUAGCCGACCUGAUAGGGUGAUCGGCCACACUGGGACUGAGACACGGCCCAGACUCCUACGGGAGGCAGCAGUAGGGAAUCUUCGGCAAUGGACGAAAGUCUGACCGAGCAACGCCGCGUGAGUGAAGAAGGUUUUCGGAUCGUAAAACUCUGUUGUUAGAGAAGAACAAGGACGUUAGUAACUGAACGUCCCCUGACGGUAUCUAACCAGAAAGCCACGGCUAACUACGUG